AUUGAACGCUGGCGGCAUGCUUUACACAUGCAAGUCGAACGGCAGCGCGGGCUUCGGCCUGGCGGCGAGUGGCGAACGGGUGAGUAAUACAUCGGAACGUGCCCAGUAGUGGGGGAUAGCUCGGCGAAAGCCGGAUUAAUACCGCAUACGACCUGAGGGUGAAAGCGGGGGAACUUCGGACCUCGCGCUAUUGGAGCGGCCGAUGGCAGAUUAGCUAGUUGGUGGGGUAAAGGCCUACCAAGGCGACGAUCUGUAGCUGGUCUGAGAGGACGACCAGCCACACUGGGACUGAGACACGGCCCAGACUCCUACGGGAGGCAGCAGUGGGGAAUUUUGGACAAAGGGCGAAAGCCUGAUCCAGCAAUGCCGCGUGUGUGAUGAAGGCCUUCGGGUUGUAAAGCACUUUUGGCGGGAACGAAAAGGACUGUGCCAAUACCACGGUUCGAUGACGGUACCCGCAGAAUAAGCACCGGCUAACUACGUG
This 484-nucleotide ribosomal RNA is filed under the name uncultured bacterium. RNAcentral describes it as "partial 16S ribosomal RNA". It matches the Rfam family "Bacterial small subunit ribosomal RNA", at positions 29 to 507 of the family's 1533-position model. The record is from RNAcentral.